UUCCCUUGAGUAAUUUACCACUUAAUAUAAUAUAGUUUUAUAAAACUUAAUAUAUAGCCGCACAAAUGUCACACUACACUAUAUAGUAUAGUUGUAUUAUUGCUCACAUGCACAUGAUAGUUAAUCUCAUAUUAAUAAAUUAAUAACUUACACUACACAAAAAAUGAUCUCUAGUGAAGGACAAAUCCUUCACAAGACAUACUAUAUCACUCGCAAGUGAU
Molecule: long non-coding RNA, 221 nt
Filed under: Panax ginseng (ginseng)
Lineage: Eukaryota; Viridiplantae; Streptophyta; Magnoliopsida; Apiales; Araliaceae
Description: long non-coding RNA (PGIN_LNC001372)
Source: RNAcentral